This 22-nucleotide small nuclear RNA is filed under the name Arabidopsis thaliana (thale cress). Its description in RNAcentral is "snRNA_13551". The record is from RNAcentral. Lineage: Eukaryota; Viridiplantae; Streptophyta; Magnoliopsida; Brassicales; Brassicaceae.
UCACAAUCUUAAUCCACUUCUU